This 281-nucleotide unclassified non-coding RNA is filed under the name Hevea brasiliensis (rubber tree). The record is from RNAcentral. Lineage: Eukaryota; Viridiplantae; Streptophyta; Magnoliopsida; Malpighiales; Euphorbiaceae.
CUCCAAUUCUCUCAGAUUUUUCUGUCAGAUCGUUAAGAUAUCCUACUCAAAUACUUGGAAUACGUAUACGUGCGCCUACUAAAGUAGGGUGCGAAUGGAGAGCUUACCUACAACGACGAAAUCAGAGAGGCGAUGGAGAUCGAAGCCUCUGCAGAGCUCGAAACCCUCUCUAGUCUUGGCCUUCUUCUCUUGCGUGGCUUGGCUCUACGUUGCCGGACGAUUGUGGCAAGAUGCGGAGAACAGAACAUUGCUAUCUAAUCUUCUUAAGAUGAAUGCAGCCC